This 373-nucleotide ribosomal RNA is filed under the name uncultured bacterium. RNAcentral's name for it is "bacterial SSU rRNA". It matches the Rfam family "Bacterial small subunit ribosomal RNA", at positions 527 to 898 of the family's 1533-position model. The record is from RNAcentral.
GUAGGGUGCGAGCGUUGUCCGGAAUUAUUGGGCGUAAAGAGCUCGUAGGCGGUUUGUCGCGUCGACUGUGAAAACUGGGGGCUUAACUCUCAGCUUGCAGUCGAUACGGGCAGACUUGAGUUCGGUAGGGGAGACUGGAAUUCCUGGUGUAGCGGUGAAAUGCGCAGAUAUCAGGAGGAACACCGGUGGCGAAGGCGGGUCUCUGGGCCGAUACUGACGCUGAGGAGCGAAAGCGUGGGGAGCGAACAGGAUUAGAUACCCUGGUAGUCCACGCUGUAAACGUUGGGCGCUAGGUGUGGGGGACAUUCACGUCUUCCGUGCCGUAGCUAACGCAUUAAGCGCCCCGCCUGGGGAGUACGGCCGCAAGGCUAAA